UAGGCAGUCAUUUUAGUAAAGCAGUGAUUAGUGCAAGUGUUAUUUCGAUGAUGCUUGACGAAUAAUUCUCCUUCUUUAGUGCUUACCCUACGUAUUGCUGACGAAAAAUCAAAACUUGCCAUCUGAUGGCAUUUCAAACACUAAAUUUGAGAGUAAUUAUUAUGUCCAAAGUGACUGGUACCGUAAAAUUCUUCAACUCCGAAAAAGGUUUUGGCUUCAUCUCCCCGGUUGACGGCAGCAAAGACGUGUUCGUACACUUCUCCGCUAUCCAGUCCAACGGUUUCAAAACCCUGGAAGAAGGUCAGCGCGUUGAGUUCACCAUCGAGCAAGGCCAGAAAGGCCCGGCUGCUGCCAACGUAGUUGCCCUGUAAUUCAAGU
This 378-nucleotide small RNA is filed under the name Aeromonas dhakensis. RNAcentral describes it as "cspA thermoregulator". It matches the Rfam family "cspA thermoregulator", at positions 1 to 380 of the family's 428-position model. The record is from RNAcentral. Lineage: Bacteria; Pseudomonadati; Pseudomonadota; Gammaproteobacteria; Aeromonadales; Aeromonadaceae.